GCUCAAUGAUUUUUUAAAUUGCUGUAGUAUUUUGACUAUACAAAGGUAUUGAAAUAAGACUUUAAUUGAGUGCUAAGAGAAUGGAAUUUCAAAAAAAUUCUUUNUUAGGAUUAAAAAUUGAAAUUAUUUUUUUUUGUGAAGAAACAACAAUGAUAAUUAAGGACAAGAAGACCCUAAGAAUUUUAAAAGAGAAAGAAUACUUUAUCUCUCUUUUCUUUUUAAUUGGGGCGAUUAAUAAAUAUUAAAAACUUUAUUUAAAAUGAAAUAUGAACCGUUACUAAUGGUCAAAUGAGAAAAUACUCUAGGGAUAACAGCGUAAUAAUUUUUGAUAGUUCCUAUAGACAAAAUAGUUUGCGACCUCGAUGUUGGAUUAGGAUUCUUUUUUAAUGAAGAAGUUAAAAGAANAAGUUUGUUCAACUUUUGAAAUCCUACUUGAUCUGAGUUCAGACCGG
This 452-nucleotide ribosomal RNA is filed under the name Amblyomma varium. Its description in RNAcentral is "partial large subunit ribosomal RNA". The stretch from base 161 to 452 matches the Rfam family "Bacterial large subunit ribosomal RNA", at positions 2078 to 2619 of the family's 2925-position model. Lineage: Eukaryota; Metazoa; Arthropoda; Arachnida; Ixodida; Ixodidae. The record is from RNAcentral.